RNAcentral lists this ribosomal RNA (253 nucleotides) under uncultured bacterium. RNAcentral describes it as "partial 16S ribosomal RNA". It matches the Rfam family "Bacterial small subunit ribosomal RNA", at positions 524 to 776 of the family's 1533-position model. The record is from RNAcentral.
UACGAAGAGUACAAGCGUCAUCCGGAUUCACUGAAUUUAAAGGGUGCGUAGGUGGACUUGUAAGUCCGUAGUGAAAUCUCCAAGCUUAACUUGGAAACUGCCGUGGAUACUAUAAGUCUUGAAUAUUGUAAAGGUAAGCGGAAUAUGUCAUGUAGCGGUGAAAUGCUUAGAUAUGACAUAGAACACCGAUAGCGAAGGCAGCUUGCUACACAAUCAUUGACACUGAGGCACGAAAGCGUGAGGAUCAAACAGG